This 196-nucleotide ribosomal RNA is filed under the name uncultured bacterium. RNAcentral describes it as "partial 16S ribosomal RNA". It matches the Rfam family "Bacterial small subunit ribosomal RNA", at positions 1307 to 1500 of the family's 1533-position model. The record is from RNAcentral.
GCAACUCGACUACAUGAAGCUGGAAUCGCUAGUAAUCGCGAAUCAGAAUGUCGCGGUGAAUACGUUCCCGGGUCUUGUACACACCGCCCGUCACACCAUGGGAGUCAGUAACGCCCGAAGUCAGUGACCCAACCGGAACCGGAGGGAGCUGCCGAAGGUGGGACCGAUAACUGGGGUGAAGUCGUAACAAGGUAAC